AUUGAACGCUGGCGGCAGGCCUAACACAUGCAAGUCGAGCGAGCGGCGGACGGGUGAGUAAUGUCUGGGAAACUGCCCGAUGGAGGGGGAUAACUACUGGAAACGGUAGCUAAUACCGAGUACCAUCGGAUGUGCCUAGAUGGGAUUAGCUUGUAGGUGGGGUAACGUCUCACCUAGGCGACGAUCCCUAGCGGGUCUGAGAGGAUGACCAGCCACACUGGAACUGAGACACGGUCCAGACUCCUACGGGAGGCAGCAGUGGGGAAUAGUGCACAAUGGGCGCAAGCCUGAUGAAGACAGGCCGCGUGUGUGAAGAAGGCCUUCGGGUUGUAAAGUACUUUCAGCUGGGAGGCGUUACCCGCAGAAGAAGCACCGGCUAACUCCGUGCCAGCAGCCGCGGUAAUUC
RNAcentral lists this ribosomal RNA (406 nucleotides) under uncultured bacterium. RNAcentral describes it as "partial 16S ribosomal RNA". It matches the Rfam family "Bacterial small subunit ribosomal RNA", at positions 30 to 526 of the family's 1533-position model. The record is from RNAcentral.